AACGAACGCUGGCGGCAUGCUUAACACAUGCCAGUCGAACGGGACCGUCGGGUCUAGUGGCGCAGGGGUGCGUAACGCGGGGGGACCUGCCCGUAGGUUCGGAAUAACUCCCCGAAAGGGAUGCUAAUACCGGAGAAGGUCUUCGGGCCAAAGAUUUAUCGCGUUUGGGUGGGCGCGGGUUGGAUUAGCUGGUUGGUAGGGGAAAAGCCUACCAAGGGGACGAUGCAGAGCUGGUCGGAGAGGAUGAGCCGCCACGCUGGGACUGAGACACGGACCAGAAUCGUACGCGAGGCAGCAGAGGGGAAUAUUGGACAAGGGGGGAAAGCGUGACACCGCAAUGCCGCGUGAGUGAUGCAGGCCUUAGGGUUGUAAAGCUCUUUUAGCCGGGAUGAUAAUGACAGUACCGGGAGAAUAAGCACCGGCUAACUACGUG
RNAcentral lists this ribosomal RNA (433 nucleotides) under uncultured bacterium. Its description in RNAcentral is "partial 16S ribosomal RNA". It matches the Rfam family "Bacterial small subunit ribosomal RNA", at positions 29 to 507 of the family's 1533-position model. The record is from RNAcentral.